Molecule: long non-coding RNA, 242 nt
Filed under: Nicotiana benthamiana
Lineage: Eukaryota; Viridiplantae; Streptophyta; Magnoliopsida; Solanales; Solanaceae
Description: long non-coding RNA (NBEN_LNC024145)
Source: RNAcentral
UUUGCUUCAUAUUUAAACAAUAUUUUCAAAAUCUGCUGAGGUUAUUCGACUAACUAAAUCAGAUAGUCGACUAUCAUGCCUUGCGAAAAAGUCCAAUUUUAAUGCGAAAUAUUAGAUAAUCGACUAACUGUUAGGUUAGUUGAUUAACUCUACUGGAAAAUAAAAAUAUCAUUGAAAUUUGAGCAUAUUGAAACAUUCUAAAGAACUAAUACUAACAUUAUAUCGUAAAAUAACUAAUACGA